UCGUAGGCGGUUUGUCGCGUCGUCUGUGAAAACCCGCAGCUCAACUGCGGGCUUGCAGGCGAUACGGGCAGACUUGAGUACUGCAGGGGAGACUGGAAUUCCUGGUGUAGCGGUGAAAUGCGCAGAUAUCAGGAGGAACACCGGUGGCGAAGGCGGGUCUCUGGGCAGUAACUGACGCUGAGGAGCGAAAGCGUGGGUAGCGAACAGGAUUAGAUACCCUGGUAGUCCACGCCGUAAACGGUGGGCGCUAGGUGUGGGUUUCCUUCCACGGGAUCCGUGCCGUAGCUAACGCAUUAAGCGCCCCGCCUGGGGAGUACGGCCGCAAGGCUAAAACUCAAAGGAAUUGACGGGGGCCCGCACAAGCGGCGGAGCAUGUGGAUUAAUUCGAUGCAACGCGAAGAACCUUACCUGGGUUUGACAUACACCGGACCGCCCCAGAGAUGGGGUUUCCCUUUGUGGUCGGUGUACAGGUGGUGCAUGGCUGUCGUCAAACUCGUGUCGAGAGAUGUUGGUUUAAGUCCCGCAACGAGCGGCACCCUUUGUCCUGUGUUGCACCAAGUAAGUUGGG
Molecule: ribosomal RNA, 568 nt
Filed under: Rhodococcus ruber
Lineage: Bacteria; Bacillati; Actinomycetota; Actinomycetes; Mycobacteriales; Nocardiaceae
Description: bacterial SSU rRNA
Rfam family: Bacterial small subunit ribosomal RNA
Source: RNAcentral